Molecule: ribosomal RNA, 482 nt
Filed under: uncultured bacterium
Lineage: Bacteria
Description: partial 16S ribosomal RNA
Rfam family: Bacterial small subunit ribosomal RNA
Source: RNAcentral
AUUGAACGCUGGCGGCAUGCCUUACACAUGCAAGUCGAACGGUAACGGGCCUUCGGGUGCCGACGAGUGGCGAACGGGUGAGUAAUACAUCGGAACGUGCCCGAUCGUGGGGGAUAACGAGGCGAAAGCUUUGCUAAUACCGCAUACGAUCUACGGAUGAAAGCAGGGGACCGCAAGGCCUUGCGCGGACGGAGCGGCCGAUGGCAGAUUAGGUAGUUGGUAGGAUAAAAGCUUACCAAGCCGACGAUCUGUAGCUGGUCUGAGAGGAUGAUCAGCCACACUGGGACUGAGACACGGCCCAGACUCCUACGGGAGGCAGCAGUGGGGAAUUUUGGACAAUGGGCGCAAGCCUGAUCCAGCCAUGCCGCGUGCAGGAUGAAGGCCUUCGGGUUGUAAACUGCUUUUGUACGGAACGAAAAGCCUUCUUUUAAUACAGGAGGGUCAUGACGGUACCGGAAGAAUAAGCACCGGCUAACUACGUG